UUUUCCUUGUCUAACUGCUCACUCCCAAAAUCCUGCUGAAGAGAAUCCAGAGAGUGACCCAGGUCUCUGUAAUACCAUAGCAAAUUAUAUAACAGAAUUUUGUACACUUCUAUUUUUUUCCUCUCCUCCAGUGCAUUCCACGCACCUACACAGUCGCACUAAUUAGAUCACGUAAUAAACUUAAAUGUGGCAAAAAAUCUGUUCACAGGGGGUUGCAAGACAGCUGGACUUGGAAAACAGCCAGUCAUUAAUUUUGUUUUGUUUGAGAAAAUCUAAAGGACAUUGACAUUAUCUUACUGAAGAUGAAGCAAACUUCAUGUAGUAGGAGCUGUAAUCUAAGUAGACAAAUUAUUUCAUUUAAAUAGUCCACAGUGAAUCUUGAUGUAAAGGUUUGUUUACAUGAAAAAACAUAUCUGUGAGUUUAACAAAGUCAUUAAAAAUUAAACUAAAAAACCUAAACUAAUGUUAAGUUAUACUUGGUUAGUUUAGUUAAAUUAAAGUACUCAAAACUAAAUGAAUGCUCAUCCAUAAUGGAUACCUACAGAAGAGUUAAGUAGCAAGAACUCUACUUUGAACCUCAGGUGUCUUUUAUUUAAAAAGAGGUGUCUGCAUGAGAUAUGAACCUCAAUCAAUUUUUAUUUUUUUUUUACUAGAUUGUCCUAGUGCAUAAUACAGUAAUCCCUGCAUUUGUGGGGAAAUACAGGAGGGUGAAAGCAGGGCUUGCUCUAAGACACCACUUACAGUGGCAACUUUACACUUGCACACUCAUUUCUAGGGAAGGGAAUAACUUUCAGUGCUCUGUCAGUUUGACAUCAGUGAUUACUGGUAAAAGGAUCAGCUCCAAGGAGGUUUUUCACUUAGAUCUCUCCCAGGGGAUCUCAACAUCCCUUUUCAUCCUUCCUAGAGCUUAAGAGAGCUUUGCUGUGCAGGUUCAGCCCAUCAAAAGAAAAAGGAAAUGGAAAAGAAAAGCCAUUCAGAAUAAAGAUGAGACAACAUUCCCA
Molecule: long non-coding RNA, 1001 nt
Filed under: Cyanistes caeruleus (blue tit)
Lineage: Eukaryota; Metazoa; Chordata; Aves; Passeriformes; Paridae
Description: lncRNA (ENSCCEG00000006737.1)
Source: RNAcentral